AACAUUAUUUUAUGUAUUGUCCUCGGUGGUAAUGAAAAGGUCAUAGACCGGACGGACUCGUAUGACUUGAAGGAAAGAACAAACACAAUAUUGUUGAUUGAAAACGGGCAUUUAUUAUAAAAUGCCAUAAAAAAGAUAAAAAUAGAACAGAUUCUUUCCAGAAAGGCAUAA
Molecule: long non-coding RNA, 171 nt
Organism: Dreissena polymorpha
Lineage: Eukaryota; Metazoa; Mollusca; Bivalvia; Myida; Dreissenidae
Exons: 2
Source: RefSeq, a predicted model, not a curated record